Molecule: ribosomal RNA, 455 nt
Filed under: uncultured bacterium
Lineage: Bacteria
Description: bacterial SSU rRNA
Rfam family: Bacterial small subunit ribosomal RNA
Source: RNAcentral
UGAACGCUGGCGGCGUGCUUAACACAUGCAAGUCGAACGAGAACGGUCCUUCGGGAUGUCAGCUAAGUGGCGGACGGGUGAGUAAUGUAUAGUUAAUCUGCCCUUUAGAGGGGGAUAACAGUUGGAAACGACUGCUAAUACCCCAUACUCCUUUUACCUUAAUGGUAAAUGGGAAACGUUUUUUCGCUAAAGGAUGAGACUAUAUGGUAUCAGGUAGUUGGUGGGGUAAGAGCCUACCAAGCCAAUGACGCCUAGCUGGUCUGAGAGGAUGAUCAGCCACACUGGAACUGAGACACGGUCCAGAAUCCUACGGGAGGCAGCAGUGGGGAAUAUUGCACAAUGGAGGAAACUCUGAUGCAGCAACGCCGCGUGGAGGAUGACGCAUUUCGGUGUGUAAACUCCUUUUAUAUGGGAAGAUAAUGACGGUACCAUAUGAAUAAGCACCGGCUAACUCC